GAGUUUGAUCGUGGCUCAGAACGAACGCUGGCGGCAUGCCUAACACAUGCAAGUCGAACGCCCUCUUCGGAGGGAGUGGCGCACGGGUGCGUAACGCGUGGGAACCUGCCUUUAGGUUCGGAAUAACUUCCCGAAAGGGAUGCUAAUACCGAAUAAUGUCUUCGGACCAAAGAUUUAUCGCCUUUAGAUGGGCCCGCGUUGGAUUAGCUAGUUGGUGGGGUAAUGGCUCACCAAGGCGACGAUCCAUAGCUGGUCUGAGAGGAUGAUCAGCCACACUGGGACUGAGACACGGCCCAGACUCCUACGGGAGGCAGCAGUGGGGAAUAUUGGACAAUGGGCGAAAGCCUGAUCCAGCAAUGCCGCGUGAGUGGUGAAGGCCCCUAGGGUUGUAAAGCUCUUUUACCCGAGAUGAUAAUGACAGUAUCGGGAGAAUAAGCUCCGGCUAACUCCGUGCCAGCAGCCGCCGUAAG
Molecule: ribosomal RNA, 470 nt
Filed under: uncultured Alphaproteobacteria bacterium
Lineage: Bacteria; Pseudomonadati; Pseudomonadota; Alphaproteobacteria
Description: bacterial SSU rRNA
Rfam family: Bacterial small subunit ribosomal RNA
Source: RNAcentral